AGUGAACGCUGGCGGUAGGCCUAACACAUGCAAGUCGAACGGCAGCACAGUAAGAGCUUGCUCUUACGGGUGGCGAGUGGCGGACGGGUGAGGAAUACAUCGGAAUCUACUUUUUCGUGGGGGAUAACGUAGGGAAACUUACGCUAAUACCGCAUACGACCUACGGGUGAAAGCAGGGGAUCUUCGGACCUUGCGCGAUUGAAUGAGCCGAUGUCGGAUUAGCUAGUUGGCGGGGUAAAGGCCCACCAAGGCGACGAUCCGUAGCUGGUUUGAGAGGAUGAUCAGCCAAACUGGAACUGAGACACGGUCCAGACUCCUACGGGAGGCAGCAGUGGGGAAUAUUGGACAAUGGGCGCAAGCCUGAUCCAGCCAUACCGCGUGGGUGAAGAAGGCCUUCGGGUUGUAAAGCCCUUUUGUUGGGAAAGAAAAGCAGCAGGUUAAUACCCCGCUGUUCUGACGGUACCCAAAGAAUAAGCACCGGCUAACUUCGUG
This 492-nucleotide ribosomal RNA is filed under the name uncultured bacterium. RNAcentral describes it as "partial 16S ribosomal RNA". It matches the Rfam family "Bacterial small subunit ribosomal RNA", at positions 29 to 507 of the family's 1533-position model. The record is from RNAcentral.